Molecule: ribosomal RNA, 301 nt
Filed under: uncultured bacterium
Lineage: Bacteria
Description: partial 16S ribosomal RNA
Rfam family: Bacterial small subunit ribosomal RNA
Source: RNAcentral
CAGCCGCCACGGUAAUACGGAGGGUGCAAGCGUUAAUCGGAAUUACUGGGCGUAGAGCGCGCGCAGGCGGUUUGUUAAGUCAGAUGUGAAAUCCCCGAGCUUAACUUGGGAACUGCAUUUGAAACUGGCAAGCUAGAGUCUUGUAGAGGGGGGUAGAAUUCCAGGUGUAGCGGUGAAAUGCGUAGAGAUCUGGAGGAACAUCUGUGGCGAAGGCGACUAUCUGGGCCAACACUGACACUGAGGCACGAAAGCGUGGGGAGCAAACAGGAUUAGAUACCCCAGUAGUCCCUGUCUCUUAUAC